UUCCUACGGGGCGCAGCAGUGGGGAAUAUUGCACAAUGGGGGAAACCCUGAUGCAGCGACGCCGCGUGAAGGAUGAAGUAUUUCGGUAUGUAAACUUCUAUCAGCAGGGAAGAAAAUGACGGUACCUGACUAAGAAGCCCCGGCUAACUACGUGCCAGCAGCCGCGGUAAUACGUAGGGGGCAAGCGUUAUCCGGAUUUACUGGGUGUAAAGGGUGCGUAGGUGGCAGGGCAAGUCAGAUGUGAAAGCCCGGGGCCCAACCCCGGUACUGCAUUUGAAACUGUCCGGCUGGAGUGCAGGAGAGGG
RNAcentral lists this ribosomal RNA (305 nucleotides) under uncultured bacterium. RNAcentral's name for it is "bacterial SSU rRNA". It matches the Rfam family "Bacterial small subunit ribosomal RNA", at positions 336 to 658 of the family's 1533-position model. The record is from RNAcentral.